This 253-nucleotide ribosomal RNA is filed under the name uncultured bacterium. Its description in RNAcentral is "partial 16S ribosomal RNA". It matches the Rfam family "Bacterial small subunit ribosomal RNA", at positions 524 to 776 of the family's 1533-position model. The record is from RNAcentral.
UACGAAGGGGGCUAGCGUUGUUCGGAAUCACUGGGCGUAAAGGGCGCGUAGGCGGCUUUAUAAGUCGGGGGUGAAAGCCUGUGGCUCAACCACAGAAUUGCCUUCGAUACUGUAGAGCUUGAGACCGGAAGAGGUAAGUGGAACUGCGAGUGUAGAGGUGAAAUUCGUAGAUAUUCGCAAGAACACCAGUGGCGAAGGCGGCUUACUGGUCCGGUUCUGACACUGAGGCGCGAAAGCGUGGGGAGCAAACAGG